AUAUUUAUAGCUCAGUUGGUAAAGAAUCUGCCUGCAAUGCAGGAGAUCCUGGUUCAAUUCCAGGAAGAUCUG
This 72-nucleotide transfer RNA is filed under the name Ovis aries (sheep). It matches the Rfam family "tRNA". Rfam says of the family: Transfer RNA (tRNA) molecules are approximately 80 nucleotides in length. Their secondary structure includes four short double-helical elements and three loops (D, anti-codon, and T loops). Further hydrogen bonds mediate the characteristic L-shaped molecular structure. tRNAs have two regions of fundamental functional importance: the anti-codon, which is responsible for specific mRNA codon recognition, and the 3' end, to which the tRNAs corresponding amino acid is attached (by aminoacyl-tRNA synthetases). tRNAs cope with the degeneracy of the genetic code in two manners: having more than one tRNA (with a specific anti-codon) for a particular amino acid; and 'wobble' base-pairing, i.e. permitting non-standard base-pairing at the 3rd anti-codon position. The record is from Rfam by way of RNAcentral. Lineage: Eukaryota; Metazoa; Chordata; Mammalia; Artiodactyla; Bovidae.